GCGUUGGAGCACCAAGAAGACAGGCAGCACUGACAGUAGCAGAAGAGUAGGAGGUGGCUGUGGCACCCCACGCCGAGCAGGAGCGGGAGGAGUUCCUGGGCGAUGGGGCCGCAGCCUGGGCCGAUGCUGACCAUGGGAUGAGAUCAUUCUUCACUCUGCACCGUGACCAUCAGGGGGCGCCCCAACCACCUUUUCUGCCCCACAUCGUGCUCUUGCAGUGUUCUCCCCGCAGGUGCUGCAUGGAGUGAGUGGCGGCAUCCACCGUGAGGAGGAGAGGAGCUCUGAUACCCUCAGGACCCGCCAGGAGGGGCAUCACGGAGGCUUCUGGACGACUUGGAGCUGUGUCCUGGGGAGAAAACCGCUCCUGUCUGGGCCCUGAGUGCUGAGGAGGAAGCUGCCAUGCACUUUUCCCUGGCAUUUUUCCUGCAUGGUGAGUACAGAAGCUUUAGUUUUCUGGUAUGUUCUGUUCAUUCCUCUCCUGUUCUCCCUGGUUUUCCUCUUUCUCUUGUAGUGUUUUAGUAUUUAUUUUACAGUGGUAUUCAUUCUCUGAAGGCUUUUGAGGGUGUCAAGACCAGAGUUACCCAGCUGUGGCAUAGAAAACCAAAAUGUGUUUCGCCAAACUCACUGUAACUUUGUUUCCAUAACCGAUCCCUCCCAUCCCCCUCCUAUCCCCCUCCUUCCCCUCUCCUCAGGAAACCGCUACUGUACCUUCUGCUUGAAGGUAAAGUUUUUUGGAUUCCAUAUAAGUGAGAUCACAUAGUGUUUGCCUUUCUCUACCUAGUCGAUUUCAUUUAAUGUAAUGUCUUCCAGGUUCGUCUGUGUUUUUGCAAAUGACAUGUUGUCAUGAAUUUUUAUGCAUGAGGCAUAUUUCAUCAUGUCUGUAUGCUGAAGUCCCUUCAUCCUUUCAUUGGUUGGUGGACAGGUAGGUUGAUUUCAUACCUUGGUUACUCAUUGUUAGUGAGUAGUAGGUCACUAAACCUCAGAAGGCAGCUGUUGCUUCAACAGACCGAUCUCAUUUUCUUUAAGCUCACAACCACGGUUAGAAUUACUAGAUGAAACAGUUCUUGCAUUUUUAAUUUCUGAGGGUGCUCCAAGUGGUUUUCUCAGUGCGUUUCAUCAUUGAAAUUUCUCCCAAUAGUGUAUAAGAGGAUCUCUAUAUCUAACAGCACCCUGAACUUUUAUUUUUAAAUUAUUUCUGUUUUGGUAUUAUUCAUUUUACUUAGCGUUAGAUAGUAUCUGAGUGUGGUCUUUAUUUACAGUUUUGUGAUGACCAGUGAUGUUGAGAAACACCUUUUUUACCUUUUAAUCAAUAUCAUACCUUCUUUUCAGAAAUGUCUGUUAUUCAGGUUUUUUUGCCCAGUUUUUUUGGGGGUAUUGGGUCUUGUAUGUUUUGUCCCUCUGUAGUGUUAGUUUCUGCUGUUGUCAGAUAACACUCCCUUUCAGAUAUAUGAUUCCUCAUAAUUUCCUUUUUUUGAUGUGUAAAAAGAUAAACCUAUUGUGGCAACAGCCAAGAACGGUAAUAAUCAAAUGCAGGAAUUAGGUGCCAUUUAUAUUUCCCCACUCAGAGUAUAAGACUUCCUGCCUCACAGAAGUAAAUGAGAUUUUUCUGUGCAUAUAGUAAAAUUUUACUUUUCAUAUUUUAAUUUUUCGUGUCCUAAAAAGUUAACACAAUUUAAUUAAAAAUUAAAGCCACUAAAACAUUUAUGUAACAAUUUCUUUUUAAAUUUUAC
Molecule: long non-coding RNA, 1730 nt
Filed under: Homo sapiens (human)
Lineage: Eukaryota; Metazoa; Chordata; Mammalia; Primates; Hominidae
Description: non-protein coding lnc-LRRC74B-3:4
Source: RNAcentral